Oncorhynchus keta (chum salmon) is the source of this 1108-nucleotide long non-coding RNA. RefSeq lists it as uncharacterized. The record is from RefSeq and is a predicted model, not a curated record. The transcript is spliced from 3 exons. Lineage: Eukaryota; Metazoa; Chordata; Actinopteri; Salmoniformes; Salmonidae.
CAUCAUAGUCUCCUUGUACUGUUUCUUCUGGGUGACCUUGAUGGGCGGCAGCUUGGUGACGGCUGACACCAGGAAGUUCAUCAGGAUGUCUUCACAGUUAGACAGCUGAUCCACCAGGUCCCUCAGACUAGCCGGCAGGUAACUGGUAUACAGGUAGUGGUAAUAUCUACAGGUAAAGACAGGUAGUGGUAAUAUCUACAGGUAGUGGUAAUAUCUACAGGUAAAGACAGGUAGUGGUAAUAUCUACAGGUAAAGACAGGUAGUGGUAAUAUCUACAGGUAAAGACAGGUAGUGGUAAUAUCUACAGGUAGUGGUAAUAUCUACAGGUAAAGACAGGUAGUGGUAAUAUCUACAGGUAGUGGUAAUAUCUACAGGUAAAGACAGGUAGUGGUAAUAUCUACAGGUAAAGACAGGUAGUGGUAAUAUCUACAGGUAAAGACAGGUAGUGGUAAUAUCUACAGGUAAAGACAGGUAGUGGUAAUAUCUACAGGUAAAGACAGGUAGUGGUAAUAUCUACAGGUAAAGACAGGUAGUGGUAAUAUCUCCAGGUAAAGACAGGUAGUGGUAAUAUCUACAGGUAGUGGUAAUAUCUACAGGUAAAGACAGGUAGUGGUAAUAUCUACAGGUAAAGACAGGUAGUGGUAAUAUCUACAGGUAAAGACAGGUAGUGGUAAUAUCUACAAAAAGCAGAGUUCAUCUCAGCCUAUGCCCCCCUCCAGUCCCUUGACUUCUUGGCACUGACGGAAACAUGGAUCACCACAGAUAACACUGCUACUCCUACUGCUCUCUCCUCGUCCGCCCACGUGUUCUCGCACACCCCGAGAGCUUCUGGUCAGCGGGGUGGUGGCACCGGGAUCCUCAUCUCUCCCAAGUGGUCUUUCUCUCUUUCUCCCCUUACCCAUCUGUCUAUCGCCUCCUUUGAAUUCCAUGCUGUCACAGUUACCAGCCCUUUCAAGCUUAACAUCCUUAUCAUUUAUCGCCCUCCAGGUUCCCUCGGAGAGUUCAUCAAUGAGCUUGAUGCCUUGAUAAGCUCCUUUCCUGAGGACGGCUCACCUCUCACAGUUCUGGGCGACUUUAACCUCCCCACGUCUACCUUUGACUCAUUCCU